Rhipicephalus microplus (southern cattle tick) is the source of this 570-nucleotide long non-coding RNA. RefSeq lists it as uncharacterized. NCBI's taxonomy places the organism in Eukaryota, Metazoa, Arthropoda, Arachnida, Ixodida, Ixodidae. The record is from RefSeq and is a predicted model, not a curated record.
UGCAAGUGUGCCGGCAGCCGGGCCCACACGACGACGGUCCUCAGUUUCGUCCCGGAGUCCGAACGCACCGGUUGGGCUCCUGGUGCGCAGCUUGGCCUGGCCAGUCGGCACGCACGCUCCCCUAGACCACGGACUCUCUUGCACGUGGCACGAGGACAGAGUCUUCCCGCCUUUAUAGCUCGUCGUACGCCUAAAGAGGAACGGCAGCGCAGAAACGUACACGAUAAGAGAAUCAUCGCAGCAGACUUAUCGCAAGACCUUCGACUACGCCUUCUUCCCUUUUCCGAGGUCGCCUCCAUUCGACUUCUAAGCCUGCGACCACGGUCACCCUUGCGGGGACAAUGCACGCCCUGGGGCUGACUCGAGCUGCCCGUGCAAAACUGGAACCUUUGCGUUGUUUUGUUCGUUCGGCUCGAGUUAGGAACCGGCGUGGAAGCGCCGUUGGAUGCAAACCGACACGCCCUGCCAGGGUCUCUAUCGUCCUGCCUGCCCUUUCCCGUCUCGCUUGAAGUGCUCCCCGAAGCGUUCAAUAAAGUUUACCGUAAUAUUUUUUUAUGUUCGAACCACGGC